RNAcentral lists this ribosomal RNA (492 nucleotides) under uncultured bacterium. RNAcentral's name for it is "partial 16S ribosomal RNA". It matches the Rfam family "Bacterial small subunit ribosomal RNA", at positions 29 to 507 of the family's 1533-position model. The record is from RNAcentral.
AGUGAACGCUGGCGGUAGGCCUAGCACAUGCAAGUCGAACGGCAGCACGGUAAGAGCUUGCUCUUACGGGUGGCGAGUGGCGGACGGGUGAGGAAUACAUCGGAAUCUACUUUUUCGUGGGGGAUAACGUAGGGAAACUUACGCUAAUACCGCAUACGACCUACGGGUGAAAGCAGGGGAUCUUCGGACCUUGCGCGAUUGAAUGAGCCGAUGUCGGAUUAGCUAGUUGGCGGGGUAAAGGCCCACCAAGGCGACGAUCCGUAGCUGGUCUGAGAGGAUGAUCAGCCACACUGGAACUGAGACACGGUCCAGACUCCUACGGGAGGCAGCAGUGGGGAAUAUUGGACAAUGGGCGCAAGCCUGAUCCAGCCAUACCGCGUGGGUGAAGAAGGCCUUCGGGUUGUAAAGCCCUUUUGUUGGGAAAGAAAAGCAGCAGGUUAAUACCCCGCUGUUCUGACGGUACCCAAAGAAUAAGCACCGGCUAACUUCGUG